AGCUUUACGCAGUGGCAGUAUCGCAGCCAAUGAGGAUUAUCCAAGGCGCAAUUAUUGCUAAUUGAAAACUUUUCCCCAAAAUAAAUGAAUCUAUGGAAAAAAAUACA
Molecule: small nuclear RNA, 107 nt
Filed under: Ochotona princeps (American pika)
Lineage: Eukaryota; Metazoa; Chordata; Mammalia; Lagomorpha; Ochotonidae
Description: U4 spliceosomal RNA (ENSOPRG00000023666.1)
Rfam family: U4 spliceosomal RNA
About the family: U4 small nuclear RNA (U4 snRNA) is a component of the major U2-dependent spliceosome.
Source: RNAcentral